Non-coding RNA from Oryctolagus cuniculus (rabbit), 3344 nucleotides. Lineage: Eukaryota; Metazoa; Chordata; Mammalia; Lagomorpha; Leporidae. The record is from RefSeq and is a predicted model, not a curated record.
CCUUGCCCGCUCGCUCGCCGCGCGCUCGCUUCCUCUUGCAAACUUUCGGGUUCUGUGGUCGACAAGAAACCGGGGCGACCCUCAGCAAGUCUUCCCCGCGCAGUGCCGGAAACAAGGCAGAAGGCGGCUUGGGAAAAAGUGGAGCAGAAAUGGAAAAAUACAAACUCACCCGCUGCAAAUGGUCUCUCGGUGCAAACUAAGGUGUUUUCGGGCCUUUUCCCCGCGCGCGCCCACUCCCGCCCGCGCGCGCGCCCCGCGCACACACUCACCGCGCGCACACACACACACACGCACUCCCGGGCGAGGGCCGAGUACAGCGUGCGGCCGCCGCGAGUACAGCGUGCGGCCGCCACACAAUAAAUAACAAUAGAUUCCUCCGCUCCGGACUAGCUUCCCGGAGCCCGGCCAGCGCCGGCGCCGGCUGCGGCGCGCCCAGCGCCGGGCCUGGGGCGCCCCCCGCCAGCUCGCCGCCGGGUGUCGCCCCCCACCCGACCCCGCUCCGCCCCGCGUCCCGCGCGCGAGCCCGCACCCCGGCUCCCGGCCCCCCACCCCGGGGCGCCGGCGGCCGCCCCCAGCUCCCCACCCCCCGCCCCCGGCAUCCCGGAACAAAUAAAUAAAUAAGGCGCGCGCGAGAGGCCAACACGUCGCGGAGGGAGAUGUUGUUAUUUUUUGCUGUUGUGCGUCCCUGACGUCACAUCCACCUGCUGGGUAAACAACAGGGCUCGCAGCAAAAAAAAAAAAAAAGCAACUGCCAAAGCUGGGGGGGUGGGGAGUGGGGGCGGGGGUCCGAGCUGGGUGGGGAGCAGGGGGCGCCCGCGCGCGGUGGAGCCCCGGGCCCCGAGAGGAAAGGGACCGCCGGGGCAGUCCGGCAGGAAAGACCUGGAAAAAGAGGGGGUCCGGGGGGCGGGGGGGAUUCCCGAGAAGACGGGGCUCGGGGGGCGCACUCGGCUCCCCCCACCCCCGGGGACGCGCGGCGGGGCCGGAGCCGCGGGAGCUGCGGGCCGGGCUCGGCGCUCCGCACGCCGGCGGCCGCGGCGCGGAGGCGCGGCCCCGCGGGUUAAAAGUGAAAGUGCUGGCCGCGGUGACAGUGGCGGGGGCGGCCCGGGCGCCCGCGGCCCCCUCGCGCCGCGCCCGCGGCCCUCCCUCGCCGCCCGGCGCUCGCUCUCCGCGCUCCGUCCAAUGAAAGGAGGCGAGUUCGCGAGGUGAAAGUUCAGCCGAAGGACAAACCCCCGCUCCCCGAGCGCGCACACAGCCCGCGGGCGAGGGGCUUCCUGGCCCGCGGUGUCGGGCCGGGCCGGGCCGGAGUCGCUGCCGGAAUGCGCGGCGGGACCCGCUGCGGGGGAAGCGUGUGGCGCCGCUUAGGAAAGCGCCCGGGGCUGGCGUGUCGGUCGGUUGUUUAACACAAAUUACCUGCUCGCCCGGAGACCGGUCACGUGCAGAAAGCUUUGUCCGAGUCUUUGAAAAGAUACAUCAAUCCCAGAUGCUACCAAACUCCGGAACCAGCGUUCCCAGCCACCGACUGGCCGGUACAGCAGGCCAGUUAUUUAUCACAGUAUAUUAAAAGCCACCCUCCUGGAUUCCCGCACAGCGCUGCCUGCCCCUGAGUGGGCACAGGGGAGGCUUACUGUCCCGUUGGUUUGGAGACCAGCACGGUGGUAGAUAAUAAAUUUCCUGGAAAGGGGAGUAUACGAUUCUUGUGUAUAAUGUCUUUUUACAAACAUCGUUAAACAUUAACAGACGACCUUAGAUCUCAAUUUCAGUGAUAGUAUAAAAUUGCCACCUGAACAUUGCACCUGCGUUGCAAGUCAAAGAUAAAUAAAUAAACAACACAGCCAUUCACGGUUGCUGCAGAAGAUAAAGCCCGAGAAAGAGACGCUGGGCUAAGAUUGAGCAGUGUGCUUUUUAAAAAUUAUUCUUGCGGUCAUACCAAAACGGGCUUUACGUGGCUGCUGACCUUACUCUGCAUUUUAACAACUGCCUGAAAUUCUACAUCCACUUGCAAGUGGGGACUAAAGGCAGGUUGGCAACAAGUUUUGCAGACAAAAGGGAAUCCUGGUUGUGGAUCCCAUGAUACAGCGUACUCAAUUUCGUACAGAUUUUUGUGUCUCAUGUGCUGCCUUAUUAAAGAACUUCAUGUCCAUUUGGUUUACGUUACAAGGAAACUUAACUGUGGCUUAACAUAUUGCUCAUUUUCAACACUGUCACGUCGCAUUCGUAGGGAGCAGAUUUUAAUUUCUUUAUCAGUAAUCAACUGGAAGUUUCUUUUUGUUAAAUUAAAGCAAGAAGGGUUUUGAAAUAUAAAGGGCAUGGGGGUAGGACGCCACCUUUUGGCGACAAAACUAAAUAGAAAUCUCUUUUUUUUUUUUUUAAAGCAGAUGUUCCCAACCUAAUCUUAUUUUUAAUUACACCAAGGCAAAGGUGCUUGUCCCCAUUUCCUUAUAUUUUAAGAAACAGGUUGUAGGGGAGCAGGGGAACCAGCAUAAAUCAUGGUUAGAAAACUGCGGGUAGCUGCAGCCACAGUUCGGCCUGAGCAGUGAGAAUGGGCUGGUGCCCCGUGCCAUACUGUGAACUAUGUCACACUUGGACUUCAUCCUCCAGGUGCUGUGUCAGUGACUCUAUGGAGGACAGGAAGCCAGAGUGGAUGGGUGCCACCCAGCCAGAUACCUGAGUGCCCUUGAGAACUGAGAGCUGAACAGACAGGGUCAGCACCAAAUCGGUGUUUCCUGAACCACAGUCCUCACCAUCCAGAUUCUUGCUGCUCUUUGUGGCACAGUAAUUCCUAAAGAAUUAAUAUACCGUGUUCAUUAGAGUGUACAUGUUAAGGUGGUUGUCCUAAAUGUUUUCAUUUGAAUGAACCUACUUACUUCUUUUUCUAUUUUUACUUCAAAUGCAAGACCAGUGUCACCCUCCCUAAAUUAGAAACAAGCACAGUGAGAAUAGACACUGGCAAAACUGACAUCAGAAAUGACUUUUUGCAGAGGGGGAGGGGUACGUGUUGAGAAGAGUUACUGGGGCUGGCGCUGUGGCACAGAGGGUUAACGCCCUGGCCUGAAGCAUCGGCAUCCCAUAUAGACCCGGCUGCUCCACUUCUGAUGCAGCUCUCUGCUAUGGCCUGGGAAAGCAGUAGAAGAUGGCCCAGGUCCUUGGGGCCCUGCACCCACAUGGGAGACCCAGAAGAAGCUCCUGGCUCCUGGCUUUGGAUUGGCGCAGCUCUGGCCUUUGCGGCCAAUUGGGGAGUGAACCUUCGGAUGGAAGAUCUCUCUCUCUCUCUCUCUCUCUGCCUCUCCUUCUCUCUCUGUGUAACUCUGACUUUCAAAUAAAUAAAUAAUUUUUUUCAAAAGUGA